RNAcentral lists this ribosomal RNA (1190 nucleotides) under Leucobacter denitrificans. RNAcentral's name for it is "bacterial SSU rRNA". It matches the Rfam family "Bacterial small subunit ribosomal RNA", at positions 37 to 1243 of the family's 1533-position model. The record is from RNAcentral. Lineage: Bacteria; Bacillati; Actinomycetota; Actinomycetes; Micrococcales; Microbacteriaceae.
GGGCGGCGGGGGCUUAAAUGCAAGUCGAACGAUGAAGCCCAGCUUGCUGGGUGGAAGAGUGGCGAACGGGUGAGUAACACGUGAGUAACCUGCCCCUGACUCUGGGAUAAGCGCUGGAAACGGUGUCUAAUACUGGAUAUGACCUAUCACCGCAUGGUGUGUGGGUGGAAAGAUUUAUCGGUUAGGGAUGGACUCACGGCCUAUCAGCUUGUUGGUGAGGUAAUGGCUCACCAAGGCGACGACGGGUAGCCGGCCUGAGAGGGUGACCGGCCACACUGGGACUGAGACACGGCCCAGACUCCUACGGGAGGCAGCAGUGGGGAAUAUUGCACAAUGGGCGCAAGCCUGAUGCAGCAACGCCGCGUGAGGGAUGACGGCCUUCGGGUUGUAAACCUCUUUUAGUAGGGAAGAAGCGAAAGUGACGGUACCUGCAGAAAAAGCACCGGCUAACUACGUGCCAGCAGCCGCGGUAAUACGUAGGGUGCAAGCGUUGUCCGGAAUUAUUGGGCGUAAAGAGCUCGUAGGCGGCUUGUCGCGUCUGCUGUGAAAUCCCGGGGCUCAACCCCGGGCCUGCAGUGGGUACGGGCAGGCUAGAGUGCGGUAGGGGAGAUUGGAAUUCCUGGUGUAGCGGUGGAAUGCGCAGAUAUCAGGAGGAACACCGAUGGCGAAGGCAGAUCUCUGGGCCGCUACUGACGCUGAGGAGCGAAAGCAUGGGGAGCGAACAGGAUUAGAUACCCUGGUAGUCCAUGCCGUAAACGUUGGGAACUAGAUGUAGGGCCUGUUCCACGGGUUCUGUGUCGUAGCUAACGCAUUAAGUUCCCCGCCUGGGGAGUACGGCCGCAAGGCUAAAACUCAAAGGAAUUGACGGGGGCCCGCACAAGCGGCGGAGCAUGCGGAUUAAUUCGAUGCAACGCGAAGAACCUUACCAAGGCUUGACAUAUACAAAAACGCUGUAGAGAUACAGAACUCUUUGGACACUCGUAUACAGGUGGUGCAUGGUUGUCGUCAGCUCGUGUCGUGAGAUGUUCGGUUAAUUCCGGCAACGAGCGCAACCCUCGUCCUAUGUUGCCAGCACGUUAUGGUGGGAACUCAUGGGAUACUGCCGUGGUCAACCCGGAGAAGGUGGGGAUGACGUCAAUCACAUGCCCCUUAUGUCUUGGGCUUCCCGCUGCUACAAUGGCCGAUCCAUG